UCUCAACGAGUCGAGUUGUUUGGGAAUGCAGCUCUAAAUGGGUGGUAAAUUCCAUCUAAGGCUAAAUAUUGGCGAGAGACCGAUAGCGAACAAGUACCGUGAGGGAAAGAUGAAAAGCACUUUGGAAAGAGAGUUAAACAGCACGUGAAAUUGUUAAAAGGGAAACGAUUGAAGUCAGUCGUGUGAAAGGUAUUCAGCCGUCUCUGGCGGUGUAUUUGCCUUUCACGGGUC
Molecule: ribosomal RNA, 231 nt
Filed under: Vishniacozyma victoriae
Lineage: Eukaryota; Fungi; Basidiomycota; Tremellomycetes; Tremellales; Bulleribasidiaceae
Description: partial large subunit ribosomal RNA
Rfam family: Eukaryotic large subunit ribosomal RNA
Source: RNAcentral